UCAGCAAAUCCAUUAACUGAAAAGCCCAAUAAGGGGAGUUACAACUUACAAGUUAUACAAUAAACUCAAAUUGAAGCCCAAGAAAAUCCAAACCCACAGAGUUAAGCACGUGUCUCGAUACUUGUUACAAAGAAACCAAAACAACAACGUGUGGUGAGAAGGAUUUCAAUCGUCGCCGCUUCAGUAUCAUCGCAAAACGCCGGUGGAAUUCCGAUCAUCCACAUCUCAGCAAGCUGCCGUGACUUGGAUUCUUCGACCCUGAUUGUACCACUGAAGCAUCUUCCUCUCUAGAUUUCGCCAGCGGUAAUAGAUGAAUCUUCCCCCAAAUCAUCAAAAUAGCUUCAACGAAAACCUAAUCGAUUUGACAGCUAAUCCGUUGAACAGGAAACCAAACAAAACAAACCGGAUUAGAACCGGAAAUAAAAUCGGACAAAGCCGAAAGGAAAUCCGGACUCGUCGGAAUUUAUUAUAACCGGAUCAAACCGGAAAGCCGAUCCGAUGUUAAUCGGAAUUUACAGCAAAACUGAGAAAAAAACUCUCUCUCUCUUAGUGAUUUUAAUAUUUUUUUUUUGCGUUAUUUUUUUGGUUUUUUUUUUUGCGUUAUUUUGCAUCAUCAUCCUUUAACUUACUUACUUAUAACUGCUCAACUAGUCAGCUCUGAAGAUAUCAAAACUCUUUGAACUUAUCAUAAUAGCAUAUAAAUGUUACUGAUAUUCUUUACCUAAAUCCUAAUCGCUUACUGUUAUCAUUUAAAUUGGAUGCAAUAUAUGUGUGAAUAAAAUGAAAACUUUUUAUUGCUUAAAUGAAAACUUAAAUGUGG
RNAcentral lists this long non-coding RNA (820 nucleotides) under Eutrema salsugineum. RNAcentral's name for it is "long non-coding RNA (ESAL_LNC000192)". The record is from RNAcentral. Lineage: Eukaryota; Viridiplantae; Streptophyta; Magnoliopsida; Brassicales; Brassicaceae.